This 211-nucleotide ribosomal RNA is filed under the name uncultured Streptococcus sp. Its description in RNAcentral is "partial 16S ribosomal RNA". It matches the Rfam family "Bacterial small subunit ribosomal RNA", at positions 1175 to 1382 of the family's 1533-position model. The record is from RNAcentral. Lineage: Bacteria; Bacillati; Bacillota; Bacilli; Lactobacillales; Streptococcaceae.
UGGGAUGACGUCAAAUCAUCAUGCCCCUUAUGACCUGGGCUACACACGUGCUACAAUGGUUGGUACAACGAGUUGCGAGUCGGUGACGGCGAGCUAAUCUCUUAAAGCCAAUCUCAAGUUCGGAUUGUAGGCUGCAACUCGCCUACCAUGAAGUCGGAAUCGCUAGUAAUCGCGGAUCAGCACGCCGCGGUCGAAUACGUUCCCGGGCCUU